CUGGCUCUCCUUCGCAGGCUCAGACGGGAAAGGGCCACGCGCGGGGCCGCCCAGAGUCUUAUCCACGGACUCUCGGCUUCCGGCGCAUUUCACGCAGCCGUAGUUGCUCCUUCCUAAUGGCGCUGGAUCCGCUCUGCCAGUCAUCGGCAUCCCCGCGCGGCAGCCUCCGUUUUGCGCAUACGCAGUCGCGGUUUUCACUUUCUCGGCACGCCUGUUCCAAAAUGGCGGCGUAGCGAAGACGCGUGUUGAGACUGGUGUCUCUUCCAGGCCCCCCGUUCAGGACUCUCCUCGCUGAUUUUUAAUGUUGGGUUAUUCCAGGUUUCCUUUCUGUAAAUGGGUAAAGCCUGUGCUAUACCUUAGCACUUUUUAUGCUGCGCCUAGACCUAUACUUCCAAUGGGGCAUGCGUACUGAUAACUGUGAAGCAAAUGAUCGCUUCUAAAGUAAGGGCACGGUGCCCUUCCUUUGGUCAAAGUUUCGCUUUGAUAUUUUUCGAAGACAGAAAAAUACUGUUAAAAAGGAAAAGGCCUCUUGGUAAAGAAAUGUAUUGUUAUUUCUCAGAAUAUUGCCUAGACUAGAAAGAAGAAAAGCCAUGCAGCCUUUGCAUGUAUGUCAGGUUUGGGGAGGGAGCGUAGCUCAGUCGAAGAACAUCUACUUUGCAUGUAGGCGGUCAGCUCUAUCUGGUAUCUUCCAUAUUUAAAAAAAGGAUUAGACAGUAGCUGAUGGACUCGGGUGAAAGACUUCUACCUGACACUCUGAAUACCUGUUGCUAGUCUUGAGUCAAUAUUACUGACUUCGAUGGACCACUGAUCUGAUGAUUCAAUGUAAAGCAACUUCAGGUAGGGCUUGGAAUUCUCCCGGAGUUACAACUGAGAUCCACAGUUCUCCUGGAGGAAAUGGCAUUGAAUGGCUCUGGAUGUUCUUGGCUGUAUCCUCUAUGGAGCGAUCUAACUGUGCGGUGGACUGAGAAAGGAAACAAAAGUAGAAAACUGAAACAGAAGACCUUGAUGGGCUGUAUUCAGUUUAGAGAAUCACACUGCACGGACCUGAUAUAGGAAAACAUUUCCAGAGCUGAGUAGCAAAUUUUGCAUUGCAGAAGUAACAUUUUAUCAAGCUAAAGCACCAAAUUGCCACAUUCUGUACUAUGCAUGUGACUGAAUUAAGUGUUGUUUUGGAAUGUCAGUUUUUAUGCUUGGGGUUCACCAUGCUGGAAGGGAUCCUCCUGCUCCUUCUGAUAUGGUGGACAUUUGAGGGAACUGCACACACAUGCCAGAGGACUCUGCUUCAUGACCGAAAGUACAAUCUCAGUUCCUGUAAAUUUUGCAUCCCAAUCUUAUGCACAUUUACUUUGAAGCCAGUCUCAUUUAAUCUAAGGCUCCACAUUCAGUCCCUGACAUCUCUGAUUAAAGAAUCAUAGGUGGGAGGGCUGAACAUAGGCGGAGCGAGGGGGAACUGCACCCGGGGCACGCACACACCCUGCACCCCUGCUGCGGCAGCCCACGCCCCCAGAACUCCAUGCCCCGGGACGCACCUGCAGCAUUACGCCCCCUUGUCCCAUGAGUGCUACGCCACUGGGGCUGAGCAAGACCUUUAGUUGUGGUCUUGGAGAGCAGAUCCCUGCAACAUUGGUUGAGACGCUACUCUCUUUUGAAGCUCCACGUGGGCUCAGAAAUAGUUUUAAGUUUUAAGAAAUGCCCAAUUUUAACUCUUGAUAUUUAGAAAAGGUUCUUUGGUGGCAGGGCUGGACAGACCUCAGUGAGGCCCCAAAGAGUCAUUGCCAGUCACAGGAGACUACCAGGGCUGUGUUGAAUCCAAGGGGUAGUUCAUUACAAAUGUGUUCCUUAUUGACUUCCACCAAUCAGAGAAGGGGGAACAGAAUAAUAUUCUGCUACAAGGCCUUGUCACUCUCUGGACCUGCACAGCAGCCUUGUCACAUGCCACAGGUAGGAUAGUUUCUGCCCUGCCUCACCAUCAUCCCUGUUGCCUUUUACCUGGUUGAGGAUUGCAGCUUCGGGCAGCUGCGUCCCCACGUGUCUUUGGUACACCUGCACCGUCGGCCGUGUCAGCUUCUCCCGUGUCUCCAAGUACUUGCUGCUGUCAGGGCCCUGUAGAAGGAAAAGGGCUUGACAACUAGGGGUGGGCACUGGGGAUGGGAGAAGGGAGUUUGUGGGGAGAACGGCUUGGCCUCACUGAAUCCAAGCAGCUGGAGGGGAGGACAGAUUGUGGCACGCUCACACACACCCCGCCCUAAAUUGCUCACCAAGGUCAUUCCUCGGGCAAUAGACAUCUCGUGCAUGAAACGCUGGCAGCGGUGCAGUGUGCUGCGUGUUCCUCCCAAGGCCAAGUCUAACCGUCCCUGCAGAGGAAGGGGAGGGGGAGAGAGAAAGGGAAACUCACCUGUGUGAUGAAGCAUAUAUAUAUAUUAU
Molecule: long non-coding RNA, 2424 nt
Organism: Sphaerodactylus townsendi
Lineage: Eukaryota; Metazoa; Chordata; Lepidosauria; Squamata; Sphaerodactylidae
Exons: 3
Source: RefSeq, a predicted model, not a curated record